UACAGAGGGGGCAAGCGUUGUUCGGAAUUACUGGGCGUAAAGGGCGCGUAGGCGGCCCGCUAAGUCGAACGUGAAAUCCCCAGGCUUAACCUGGGAACUGCGUCCGAUACUGGCAGGCUUGAAUCCGGGAGAGGGAUGUGGAAUUCCAGGUGUAGCGGUGAAAUGCGUAGAUAUCUGGAGGAACACCGGUGGCGAAGGCGGCAUCCUGGACCGGCAUUGACGCUGAGGCGCGAAAGCUAGGGGAGCAAACGGG
This 253-nucleotide ribosomal RNA is filed under the name uncultured bacterium. Its description in RNAcentral is "partial 16S ribosomal RNA". It matches the Rfam family "Bacterial small subunit ribosomal RNA", at positions 524 to 776 of the family's 1533-position model. The record is from RNAcentral.